GUCUGCAGCCAUACCACCUUGAACAUGCCCGAUCUCGGAAGCUAAGCAGGGUCGGGCCUGAUUAGUACUUGGACGGGAGACCACCUGGGAAUAUCGGGUGCUGUAGGCU
Molecule: ribosomal RNA, 109 nt
Filed under: Rhinolophus ferrumequinum (greater horseshoe bat)
Lineage: Eukaryota; Metazoa; Chordata; Mammalia; Chiroptera; Rhinolophidae
Source: RNAcentral